Molecule: ribosomal RNA, 393 nt
Filed under: uncultured bacterium
Lineage: Bacteria
Description: partial 16S ribosomal RNA
Rfam family: Bacterial small subunit ribosomal RNA
Source: RNAcentral
AUACGGAGGACGCGAGCGUUAUCCGGAUUCAUUGGGUUUAAAGGGUGCGCAGGCGGCCGUGCAAGUCAGCGGUGAAAGCCCGGGGCUCAACCCCGGAAGUGCCGUUGAUACUGCGUGGCUGGAAUGCGGUCGAGGCGGGCGGAAAGCGGCGGGUAGCGGGGAAAUGCGUAGAUAUGCCACAGAACGCCGAUAGCGGAGGCAGCUCGCCAGGCCUGCAUUGACGCUCGGGCACGAAAGCGUGGGGAUCGAACAGGAUGAGAUACCCUGGUAGUCCACGCCGUAAACGAUGGGCGCUCGUCGUCGGCGACAGACAGUCGGCGGCCAAGCGAAAGCGAUAAGCGCCCCACCUGGGGAGUACGGUCGCAAGGCUGAAACUUAAAGGAAUUGACGGGG